UAGAUAUUGCUUUGAAUUGGUGACCUUUA
This 29-nucleotide non-coding RNA is filed under the name Rattus norvegicus (Norway rat). The record is from RNAcentral. Lineage: Eukaryota; Metazoa; Chordata; Mammalia; Rodentia; Muridae.